RNAcentral lists this non-coding RNA (182 nucleotides) under Sapientia aquatica. RNAcentral's name for it is "6S / SsrS RNA". It matches the Rfam family "6S / SsrS RNA". Rfam says of the family: E. coli 6S RNA was the first non coding RNA to be sequenced, but its function was unknown until recently. It consists of 184 nucleotides that fold into an extended hairpin structure with a large single-stranded internal bulge. The 6S RNA specifically associates with RNA polymerase holoenzyme containing the sigma70 specificity factor. The record is from Rfam by way of RNAcentral. Lineage: Bacteria; Pseudomonadati; Pseudomonadota; Betaproteobacteria; Burkholderiales; Oxalobacteraceae.
AUUUCCCUGCCGUGUUUGCUAUUGUCAUAAAUUCCUUGAACCAUUCACAUGCAUAGGUUGCGGAAAUUGUCUAAUUGGUGUGAGCGUCGCUUUGUCCGAUGAACCCGAAAUUAAACUGACCGUGACCAACUUGAACCGCUCUUGGUUCAGGAUGCUGGCACAGCGGCUCUGGCGGGGAUUUA